CGCAUCUGUGCAUGCAGCAUAUCAAUAAGCGGAGGAAAAGAAACUAACAAGGAUUCCCCUAGUAACGGCGAGUGAAGCGGGAAGAGCUCAAAUUUGAAAUCUUAAAGGGUUUCCCUUUACGAAUUGUAGUUUAAAGAAGUGUUUUCUGUUGAGGUUUUGGUAAAAGUUCUUUGGAAUAGGACAUCAUAGAGGGUGAGAAUCCCGUAUUUGACCUUUACUUUCAACUUUGUGAUACACUUUCAAAGAGUCGGAUUGUUUGGGAAUGCAGUCCAAAAUGGGUGGUAAAUUUCAUCUAAAGCUAAAUAUUGGCGAGAGACCGAUAGCGAACAAGUACCGUGAGGGAAAGAUGAAAAGAACUUUGAAAAGAGAGUUAAACAGUACGUGAAAUUGUCAAAAGGGAAGCGUUUGACACCAGUGUUGUUUUUCUGAAAAUCAAUUAAAGAACUGUUUAUGCUAAGCUGUUUAGACUUUAUCAGCUAUACUGUUUAGUUUUGAGCUUUUCUUUAAUGCACUUUUCAGUUAACAAGUCAACAUCAAUUUCUUUUGCUGUAAAAAAGCUUGAGGAAGGUGGCUUGAGAUUCGUCUUAAGUGUUUAUAGCCUCUUGCCUAUGCAGUCGGAGAGAUUGAGGUCUGCAGCGUAGAUCCUUCGGGGCUAAAUGCAUUUGUGCUAGUUAUAGCAUUUUAUAGACAACUUGUUGACUAUGAUUUGUCUUGUAGCUUACUCGCUUAUGUUAUUUUACCUACGCUUAGGAUGUUGAACGCGCACAGAGUCUC
RNAcentral lists this ribosomal RNA (774 nucleotides) under uncultured Neocallimastigales. Its description in RNAcentral is "partial large subunit ribosomal RNA". It matches the Rfam family "Eukaryotic large subunit ribosomal RNA", at positions 26 to 641 of the family's 3401-position model. Lineage: Eukaryota; Fungi; Neocallimastigomycota; Neocallimastigomycetes; Neocallimastigales. The record is from RNAcentral.